CAAACUGUUCCCUUGCUUUUUCCAGCUUCAAGAGAUGCCUUCCUUUCUUGUUGCAUGCCCUCCCCCCAUUGCUUCAGGGGGUGCUUAUAUCUUGGCAUGCCCUUCUCUGACUCUGGCUCAUUUCUUCCCUCUCAUAAGGAUACCUGUAAUUACAUUGGCGCAUGCAGAUAAUCCAAGAUUAUCUUCCCAUCUCAAAAUCCUUCACAAUCACAUUUUCAAAGUACCUUUUGCCAUGUGAGGUGUAUAGUCACAGGUUUUAAGGAUUAAGAUGCGG
Molecule: long non-coding RNA, 274 nt
Filed under: Marmota monax (woodchuck)
Lineage: Eukaryota; Metazoa; Chordata; Mammalia; Rodentia; Sciuridae
Source: RNAcentral